CCUACGGGAGGCUGCAGUGGGGAAUAUUGGACAAUGGGGGGAACCCUGAUCCAGCCAUGCCGCGUGUGUGAAGAAGGCCCUCGGGUUGUAAAGCACUUUCAGUGAGGAAGAACGCCUGGUGGUUAAUACCCAUCAGGAAAGACAUCACUCACAGAAGAAGCACCGGCUAACUCCGUGCCAGCAGCCGCGGUAAUACGGAGGGUGCGAGCGUUAAUCGGAAUUACUGGGCGUAAAGCGCGCGUAGGUGGCUUGAUAAGCCGGUUGUGAAAGCCCCGGGCUCAACCUGGGAACGGCAUCCGGAACUGUCAAGCUAGAGUGCAGGAGAGGAAGGUAGAAUUCCCGGUGUAGCGGUGAAAUGCGUAGAGAUCAGGAGGAAUACCAGUGGCGAAGGCGGCCUUCUGGACUGACACUGACACUGAGGUGCGAAAGCGUGGGUAGCAAACAGGAUUAGAUACCCCAGUAGUC
RNAcentral lists this ribosomal RNA (465 nucleotides) under Vreelandella stevensii. RNAcentral describes it as "partial 16S ribosomal RNA". It matches the Rfam family "Bacterial small subunit ribosomal RNA", at positions 338 to 795 of the family's 1533-position model. The record is from RNAcentral. Lineage: Bacteria; Pseudomonadati; Pseudomonadota; Gammaproteobacteria; Oceanospirillales; Halomonadaceae.